GAUUGAAGGCUGAAAUUCGCCUUCAUGAAGCUGGAAUUGCUAGUAAUGGCAGGUCAGCAUACUGCCGUGAAUACGUUCCCGGGCCUUGUACACACCGCCCGUCACACCAUGAGAGUUGGGAAUACCCGAAGCCUGUGAGCUAACGAAAGAGGCAGCAGUCGAAGGUAGAAUCAAUGAUUGGGUGAAGUCGUAACAAGGUAGC
Molecule: ribosomal RNA, 202 nt
Filed under: uncultured bacterium
Lineage: Bacteria
Description: partial 16S ribosomal RNA
Rfam family: Bacterial small subunit ribosomal RNA
Source: RNAcentral